This 527-nucleotide ribosomal RNA is filed under the name uncultured bacterium. RNAcentral describes it as "bacterial SSU rRNA". It matches the Rfam family "Bacterial small subunit ribosomal RNA", at positions 984 to 1509 of the family's 1533-position model. The record is from RNAcentral.
ACAUCCAGAGAAUUUAGCAGAGAUGCUUUAGUGCCUUCGGGAACUCUGAGACAGGUGCUGCAUGGCUGUCGUCAGCUCGUGUUGUGAAAUGUUGGGUUAAGUCCCGNAACGAGCGCAACCCUUAUCCUUUGUUGCCAGCACGUAAUGGUGGGAACUCAAAGGAGACUGCCGGUGAUAAACCGGAGGAAGGUGGGGAUGACGUCAAGUCAUCAUGGCCCUUACGAGUAGGGCUACACACGUGCUACAAUGGCGCAUACAAAGAGAAGCGACCUCGCGAGAGCAAGCGGACCUCAUAAAAGUGCGUCGUAGUCCGGAUUGGAGUCUGCAACUCGACUCCAUGAAGUCGGAAUCGCUAGUAAUCGUAAAUCAGAAUGUUACGGUGAAUACGUUCCCGGGCCUUGUACACACCGCCCGUCACACCAUGGGAGUGGGUUGCAAAAGAAGUAGAUAGCUUAACCUUCGGGAGGGCGUUUACCACUUUGUGAUUCAUGACUGGGGUGAAGUCGUAACAAGGUAGGCGUAGUGCU